This 485-nucleotide ribosomal RNA is filed under the name uncultured bacterium. Its description in RNAcentral is "bacterial SSU rRNA". It matches the Rfam family "Bacterial small subunit ribosomal RNA", at positions 8 to 526 of the family's 1533-position model. The record is from RNAcentral.
AGAGUUUGAUCAUGGCUCAGAAUCAACGCUGGCGGCGUGCCUCAGACAUGCAAGUCGAACGAGAAACUUCCUUCGGGAAGUGGAAAGUGGCGCACGGGUGAGUAACACGUGGGUAAUUUACCUUCGGGUGGGGAAUAGCCAGGGGAAACCCUGAUUAAUACCGCAUAAUACGGCAACGUUAAAGCAGCAAUGCGCCUGAAGAGAAGCCCGCGGCAGAUUAGCUAGUUGGUAAGGUAAUGGCUUACCAAGGCAACGAUCUGUAUCCGGCCUGAGAGGGCGGUCGGACACACUGACACUGAAUAACGGGUCAGACUCCUACGGGAGGCAGCAGUCGGGAAUUUUGGGCAAUGGGCGAAAGCCUGACCCAGCAACGCCGCGUGAAGGAUGAAGUCUUUCGGGAUGUAAACUUCGGAAGUAUGGGAAGAAUAAAUGACGGUACCAUAUCUAAGCCCCGGCUAACUCUGUGCCAGCAGCCGCGGUAAUUC